GUCAAUGAUGGAAUCUUUGUCUUGACCCUAAUGAGGUGUUGUCUUAAAAGUCUUGUGCAAAAGAGUUAUGCUGAGGAAC
This 79-nucleotide small nucleolar RNA is filed under the name Carlito syrichta (Philippine tarsier). Its description in RNAcentral is "Small nucleolar RNA SNORD115 (ENSTSYG00000025956.1)". Lineage: Eukaryota; Metazoa; Chordata; Mammalia; Primates; Tarsiidae. The record is from RNAcentral.